UCGAGGGGCAUCGGGAUUGAAGCUUGCUUCAAUUGCCGGCGACCGGCGCACGGGUGCGUAACGCGUAUGUAACCUACCUAUAACAGGGGCAUAACACUGAGAAAUUGGUACUAAUUCCCCAUAAUAUUCGGAGAGGCAUCUCUCCGGGUUGAAAACUCCGGUGGUUAUAGAUGGACAUGCGUUGUAUUAGCUAGUUGGUGAGGUAACGGCUCACCAAGGCAACGAUACAUAGGGGGACUGAGAGGUUAACCCCCCACACUGGUACUGAGACACGGACCAGACUCCUACGGGAGGCAGCAGUGAGGAAUAUUGGUCAAUGGACGCAAGUCUGAACCAGCCAUGCCGCGUGCAGGAAGACGGCUCUAUGAGUUGUAAACUGCUUUUGUACGAGGGUAAACUCACCUACGUGUAGGUGACUGAAAGUAUCGUACGAAUAAGGAUCGGCUAACUCCGUGCCAGCAGCCGCGGUAAUACGGAGGAUUCAAGCGUUAUCCGGAUUUAUUGGGUUUAAAGGGUGCGUAGGCGGUUUGAUAAGUUAGAGGUGAAAUCCCGGGGCUUAACUCCGGAACUGCCUCUAAUACUGUUAGACUAGAGAGUAGUUGCGGUAGGCGGAAUGUAUGGUGUAGCGGUGAAAUGCUUAGAGAUCAUACAGAACACCGAUUGCGAAGGCAGCUUACCAACUAUAUCUGAC
This 691-nucleotide ribosomal RNA is filed under the name uncultured bacterium. RNAcentral's name for it is "bacterial SSU rRNA". It matches the Rfam family "Bacterial small subunit ribosomal RNA", at positions 62 to 744 of the family's 1533-position model. The record is from RNAcentral.